GAAAUUCCGUCGGAAUCUGGGAGGACCAUCUCCUAAGGCUAAAUACUCUCUAGUGACCGAUAGUGAACCAGUACCGUGAGGGAAAGGUGAAAAGCACCCCGGAAGGGGAGUGAAAUAGAACCUGAAACCGUGUGCUUACAAGUAGUCAGAGCCCGUUAAUGGGUGAUGGCGUGCCUUUUGUAGAAUGAACCGGCGAGUUACGAUUUGAUGCAAGGUUAAGCAGUAAAUGUGGAGCCGUAGCGAAAGCGAGUCUGAAUAGGGCGUUUAGUAUUUGGUCGUAGACCCGAAACCAGGUGAUCUACCCUUGGUCAGGUUGAAGUUCAGGUAACACUGAAUGGAGGACCGAACCGACUUACGUUGAAAAGUGAGCGGAUGAACUGAGGGUAGCGGAGAAAUUCCAAUCGAACCUGGAGAUAGCUGGUUCUCUCCGAAAUAGCUUUAGGGCUAGCCUCAAGUGAUGAUUAUUGGAGGUAGAGCACUGUUUGGACGAGGGGCCCCUCUCGGGUUACCGAAUUCAGACAAACUCCGAAUGCCAAUUAAUUUAACUUGGGAGUCAGAACAUGGGUGAUAAGGUCCGUGUUCGAAAGGGAAACAGCCCAGACCACCAGCUAAGGUCCCAAAAUAUAUGUUAAGUGGAAAAGGAUGUGGCGUUGCCCAGACAACUAGGAUGUUGGCUUAGAAGCAGCCAUCAUUUAAAGAGUGCGUAAUAGCUCACUAGUCGAGUGACACUGCGCCGAAAAUGUACCGGGGCUAAACAUAUUACCGAAGCUGUGGAUUGUCCUUUGGACAAUGGUAGGAGAGCGUUCUAAGGGCGUUGAAGCAUGAUCGUAAGGACAUGUGGAGCGCUUAGAAGUGAGAAUGCCGGUGUGAGUAGCGAAAGACGGGUGAGAAUCCCGUCCACCGAUUGACUAAGGUUUCCAGAGGAAGGCUCGUCCGCUCUGGGUUAGUCGGGUCCUAAGCUGAGGCCGACAGGCGUAGGCGAUGGAUAACAGGUUGAUAUUCCUGUACCACCUAUA
RNAcentral lists this ribosomal RNA (1016 nucleotides) under Staphylococcus aureus. RNAcentral describes it as "partial 23S ribosomal RNA". It matches the Rfam family "Bacterial large subunit ribosomal RNA", at positions 428 to 1452 of the family's 2925-position model. The record is from RNAcentral. Lineage: Bacteria; Bacillati; Bacillota; Bacilli; Caryophanales; Staphylococcaceae.